GGCGAGGGGAGUGAAAAAGAACCUGAAACCGUGUACGUACAAGCAGUGGGAGCACAGGUUUACCUGUGUGACUGCGUACCUUUUGUAUAAUGGGUCAGCGACUUAUAUUCUGUAGCAAGGUUAACCGUAUAGGGGAGCCGGAGGGAAACCGAGUCUUAACCGGGCGUUAAGUUGCAGGGUAUAGACCCGAAACCCGGUGAUCUAGCCAUGGGCAGGUUGAAGGUUGGGUAACACUAACUGGAGGACCGAACCGAC
Molecule: ribosomal RNA, 255 nt
Filed under: Salmonella enterica subsp. enterica serovar Infantis
Lineage: Bacteria; Pseudomonadati; Pseudomonadota; Gammaproteobacteria; Enterobacterales; Enterobacteriaceae
Also listed under: 5 other names
Description: partial 23S ribosomal RNA
Rfam family: Bacterial large subunit ribosomal RNA
Source: RNAcentral